This 1005-nucleotide long non-coding RNA is filed under the name Junco hyemalis (dark-eyed junco). RNAcentral describes it as "lncRNA (ENSJHYG00000010291.1)". Lineage: Eukaryota; Metazoa; Chordata; Aves; Passeriformes; Passerellidae. The record is from RNAcentral.
AUGCCCCACUCCCAAAUCCCUGCCCCAUUCCCAAAUCCCUGCCUCAUUCCUAAAUCCAUACUCCAUGCUCUGCCCCUGUGCCGUGCCCGGUGCCCCAUGCCCAGUGCAGUGCCCCGUGUCCGGUGCUGUGCCCAGUGUCCAAUGCCCAGUGCAGGGCCGGUGCUGUGCCCUGUUCCUGGUUCAAUUCCAGUACAAUCCCAGUUCAAUCCUGGUUCAAUUCCGGUGCAAUCCUGGUUCAAUACUGGUUCAGUUCUGGUACAAUCCCGGUGCUGUGCCCCAUUCCCGGGACAAUCCCGGUACAACCCCUGUUCAAUCCCGGUUCAAUCCCGGUGCUGUGCCCCGUUCCCAGUUCAAUCCCAGCUCAAUUCCGGCUCAAUCCCGGUGCUGUGCCCCGUUCCCUGUUCAAUGCCGGUACAAUCCCCGUUCAAUCCUGGUUCAAUCCCGGUUCAAUGCCAGUGCUGUGCCCCGUUUCCGGUUCAAUCCCGGUUCAACCCCGGUUCUAUCCCGGUUCAAUCCCGGUGCCCGAUGCGGUGCCUGCUCCAUUCGCCACCAGGGGGCGCCACCGCGCCCUCCCCCGGGGCUCUCUCGGUUCCUUCCGGAGAGUCUCGCGCGAGGGGCGGGGCCCCGAUAGCGAUCGGGCCGGGGAGGGGCGGGGCCGGAGCCUUCGGUCAGCUCCGUCCUCUGUCGUCUGCUCUCGGUUAUUUCCGGGAUAGAUUCGGGCAGUUCCGUUCUCUCUCGUCGGCUGUCGGCUGUUUCCGGGGCGGGUUCGGGCCGUUCCGGCGGCGCUCGGGCCUGUCCAAGGCUCUGCCGGGCCGGAGGCAGCAGCGGGCUGGAGGCGAGCGGCGGCGGAUGGGGCCGGCGGAGAGGUGCGGCGGGGCCGGGAGCGGCGGGAUCGGGAUCAGGGGCAUCGGGAUCGGGGACAGCGGGCCCGGAUCGGAACCAGGCCAGGGUGGGCGUCGGGACCCCCUCAGCGUGAGGCGCCCCGGGGCUUGGCUCUGUCCCUGA